GACGAACGCUGGCGGCGUGCUUAACACAUGCAAGUCGAACGGAAAGGCCCUGCUUUUGUGGGGUGCUCGAGUGGCGAACGGGUGAGUAACACGUGAGUAACCUGCCCUUGACUUUGGGAUAACUUCAGGAAACUGGGGCUAAUACCGGAUAGGAGCUCCUGCUGCAUGGUGGGGGUUGGAAAGUUUCGGCGGUUGGGGAUGGACUCGCGGCUUAUCAGCUUGUUGGUGGGGUAGUGGCUUACCAAGGCUUUGACGGGUAGCCGGCCUGGGAGGGUGACCGGCCACAUUGGGACUGAGAUACGGACCAGACUCCUACGGGAGGCAGCAGUGGGGAAUAUUGCACAAUGGGCGGAAGCCUGAUGCAGCAACGCCGCGUGCGGGAUGACGGCCUUCGGGUUGUAAACCGCUUUCGCCUGUGACGAAGCGGGAGUGACGGUAAUGGGUAAAGAAGCACCGGCUAACUACGUG
RNAcentral lists this ribosomal RNA (468 nucleotides) under uncultured bacterium. RNAcentral describes it as "partial 16S ribosomal RNA". It matches the Rfam family "Bacterial small subunit ribosomal RNA", at positions 28 to 507 of the family's 1533-position model. The record is from RNAcentral.